CAAAUCUGUGUUCACCAGUUUAUUUAUUUAACAUUGCUUCUUGCAUCAUACACUUACCUUCAAAGACAAUUUUCCUUUUUUCUGGAGUACAUCCUUUAGGAGUCUUUUCAGUGACAGUAUGUUAGCCGUAGACAGUUUCUGUUUAUCUGAAGACGUCUUUGUUUCAGCUUCAUUCCUGAUUAAUGAUUCAACAGAGUAUGGAAUUCUACAUUCUAUCUUCACUCAGCAUUUUGAAGAUAUUAUUCCAUUGUCUUCCGGUUUUUAUUGUUGCUUUGAGAAAUCUGCUGCCAGUCAUAAUGUUCUUUUCCUUAGUAGCUAAUCUGUUGCUCUUUGUUUUGUUUGUUUGUUUGUUUGUUUGUUUUCUGUGUGUGUGUGUGUCUUCUAGGGCCGCACAUGAGGCCUGUGGAAGUUCCCAGGCUAAGGGUCGAAUCAGAGCUUCAGCCACCGGCUUACAUCACAGCUCAUGGCAAAGCCAGAUCCUGAACCCACUGAGCGAGGCCAGAGAUUGAACCUGAGUCUUCGUGGAUACUAGUCAGGUUCAUUACUGCUGAACCACAACGGGAACUCCUGAUAGCUUUUAGGAUGCUCGGUUCUGCUGAGGAUUUAUUGUGCAAUCUGAAUUCAUCUUUUAUCAGUUCUGGAAAGUUCUGGGCUCUUUUGCCAUUAAAUACGGCUUCUCCCACAUUCUCUCUAUUCUUCCUUCUAAAACUCCUAUUAGUUGUAAACGGGACCUUUUUUUUUUCAUUCUAUUCUCCAUAUUUUUUACCUCCUUUACUUAUUUUUAUUAUUCUGUGUUGCAUCCUGGGUAAUUAUGGGACCUUACUCUCUGGUUCAAUGAAUCCCUGUCUCUAAGGUCCCACUCUUGCCUCCCAGGACACAAGACAUCGAUUCCUGUCCCCUCCCCAAGUGGGCAUUAAAUUGUCCAAGGCCCUAGAGUACUGGAACAAGGCCUCGCCCCUUUCACUCCCACCUACGGCAGUCACAUCAUCACUCACAGCCUUGCCACCCUAGUUUUCAGUACCCUUCUCAUUCACAGUCCCUGUCAAUUUCCCAUGUGUACAUCUAUUCAUUCAAAUAAAUAUUUGUUUCUUUCUAGAUAACUGUGGAAAACGGGUUUUCAGGUUAUCUUUAUCCUAGUAGUACCAGAACUAGAAGCUGACAUUUAUUUAUAUAAGCAAAUAUGAAAUCCACCAUUUGCUGAGAUUCCUAGCCGUGAUGCUGAUAUUCUUCCCCUAAGUAGCUUUGUCAGAUAAAUAUCCUGGUUUGCAUCUUCUGCACAUAUUUUUUAACACGGAAGUCAUAAAGGCUCACCACCGCCCUAAGUUUCACUACACAGUAAGUUAAAACUCCUGCGAUAUUUGGCCUGCUGCAGGGGGGAACUGCUCCUUCACAAUGAAGACCUAUCUUAGUACCGCAUCCGUGGAUCUUACCCUAAAAAUACUCUUGCUUUUAUGUUUUAGUAAUAUUAUUAAGUCCUUAAUGAGCGCGGCAGUGAAAAGUAUGAGAAAACAUAUACAUGAGCUCUGGAAUCAGCAAAACGUGGCUUCCACAUGGGUGUCCUCGGGAAAAACUGUUCUAUAAUGAGCCUCAGUUUCUACCAUCUGUAAAAUGGGGGUGAUGGAGACAUCCUUUGCAGGGAAGCAGUUAAAAUUAGAGAUAAUGUUUAUAAAGCAUCCCGCACAAAAUAGGUUCUUAAAUUAUUAUUGAAUCUACCUUUAAGGUCUUUUCUUUUAACUACCUAAGUACACCCCUUGCCAUCAUCCACAGUGGCUGAAAGGGUGUUCUUUCCAUUAUGAGUUCCUCUAUCUCACUAGUCACCAACUAUUUCCUUUUCUUAACGUUAACAAAAUUUCCUUUUUUUAUAUGCUUCUGGUCAUUUAGGAGCAGUCACCUUAACUUUAAUUGCCUUGACUAAAUCUCUAAACCCAAUAAAUGUUUCAGCCAUAAAAUGAAUCAUGGCUUUAUCCGCAUGUUCGUAGCUGGGAUGAUAUAAGUAGAAAAGGUGGGGUCAUUUGCAAGGUUCUCGUUGGAAUACACCCGAUCAGAGGAUGUCAGAGCUGGAAGGAACCAGAGGAAUGCUCCAGAUGAGGAGCCUAAGCUGACCCCCUCCCUUCCCCAAGCGCACACCAACCAGCGAGGGACAGAGCUGAGAUCCAACGUCCAGCUUUCUGAUCCCAGGAGCAAGGCUCUACCUGGAGUCAGCUUCACGGACCAAACUGCAAAGUUGCAACUAACCUUCCUGAAUAAUCAGUUGGUAAUCUGGAAGCAAGCCAAAUUGUCGUUGUUAAUAAGUUCCCUUCCACUCUGUUUCUGUGGCCCUAUAAACCUAUCAAUGGUAGCUUUCCAGAAAGCCUUAUGACUCAGUGUUCACUGUAGAUGUUGAAUACCUGUGUGUCCAAUGACAUAAUGACAUAAUGAAGGGCUGUCUUGACAUUAUCUGGCAUUAUGUGCCAUGCAUUCUAAGCCUGAAUUGAACCUUUUUAUAUUCCCAAUUCAUGUUAGAAGUGGCCCUUAUUGUUCUCCUGGCAUUGCUAUUUUUAUGUGUUUUUAAUAUUUUCCCCACACGGAAACGGAAAAUAUGCCUUUCUUUCACGUCUGGGUGUUUAAUCCCUCUCAGACACGGAAGUUGGCAAUCUUUCCAUGAAGUGGUCGUCUCCAGGCUAUGGUUCCGUGCAGAGACCACCCCUCUCCCCCAACUGUGUAAUGGAUGCCAGGCUGGGGCAGGAGCGGGUGGGGGAGACUCAGUGGACAUCCAUGACCUCCAUGAGAAAGUUCACAUGUUGUGUCUUACCAACAGUGGGUUGGGAACAUGGUGGCUCCAGACCGAGGUGUAUAUUACCCUGGAGCUCAGCCAGGUCCUGGGAGGGUCUUGAGUAGAAUGGGAGGCAGGCUGUGGGAACAGCACCACCAUCACCAAACAUGGCAGCAGGAAAGCAGGAGGCCCAGCAGCCCUGGUGAUCUGGGUGGGCAAGGUGGGCACAAACACGCUUGCACCUUUAAGGCCUGACUGGCCCAUUGGGCUGGCCAUCGGUUUGGUGGUUGCGUCCUGAAAUCAAGUGGACCUUCCUCUGACGUGAAGGAAGAUAUGGCCUUCAACACUGAGAGUGGACGUAUGGGAUCUCAGAGGGUUGGGCUGGGUCUGGCAACGUAUAAUCAGACUACACGUCAUAGAAGUAGCUGUGCCUGGAGGUCCCUGGCACAAAAGAGUGUUCUGUUCUUGAGCCCUGACACCGUCCACUUGAGUCUUUGGGGCCACAACACUCAAUCAAUUCAAAACAGUCAUCAGAGUUCCCGUUGUGGCUCAGCAGUUAACAAAUCCAACUAGCAUCCAUGAGGACGCAGGUUCAAUCCCUGGCCUCACUCAGGUCGUGAGUUACGCUGCCAGGAAAAACCGAAAACAAUGUCAUUAUACUCUAGGGGCGUCAAGGUCAAGACCACAUUUCCUGGGGAUGCCUAAUGAAAGGUUCCCAGACCUCUGUCAUGCGCGUCCACUCAUCUGCUUGAGCUCCCCGCCAAACGCCACUGUUGUCCCUCUGGCAUGGGCCUCUCUCCUGCUCGGUUAAAGCAGGGCUUCUGUUCAACCACAGCAGCGACAUUUCUCACGCAGGCCAUCUCGGUGAUCAGAUUCGGCUCUUGGUCAUGGCCCUUUACUGUGAUAACAAGCCGGGGCUCUGGGGUUGUAAGGAUGGAAAAGAAAAUCUCCUUCGUUCCGCCCUGUGUGGCAGAAGGUGGGUUAGUGUAAGGUAGGGUAAGGAUGCUGAGAAAUGAGAUCUGAAUUACCAAAGACUCUAAAUUUUACAUAUUUUGACAUUUAUACGUGUUCGUGCAUGUGAUUAUAUGGAGUGGUUAUAUAUAGCCCUUGUAUAUGCAAUUUCCUAGCUCAUGCUAUAUCACAAACUAAGCCAAGCACUGCCAAGCUGUUUUGCUACGUGGAAAUCCUUGCUAUAAUGAAUUAAUAAGAACGCUGUGCAAUCAACAUAUUAAUUGUAUGUAAAUGGUGUUUUUUAAAUGCUUUAAAACAAUUUAUUCCCCUGAGCAUUUUAAAUAGGCCCCCUGGAAAGUUGUUUAUGUAGUCAUUUUCUGGGUGAACUUCUCUCUCCUAGCGGGUUCCUUCAACCCACCAAGGAUCAUUUGCUGUGGCCCUCCCUGAUCUGGAGGUCCCAGGAGCCAGCGUCCUGCGGGCUGGGGCCUGGGAUCCGCCAGAGUGGCUCUGCAAUUUAAUCACCUGUUUUUGUUCCAAAUGUCUGUCUCUUGUCCCUUCUGUCAAUCAAUGCCGAUUCUGCCUGAGGUCUGGGGAAGGUGAAACCCUCCGGGAUCGAUCAACCUAGUAACGAGAGCUCACUCGGCCCUGCCAUGUUCCCACCCUGGCGGACAAGAAGUUCGCUUCAGCCAGGCGUCCGCCCCGUUCCCAAGACAACCAUCACAUUAACAUGCCGCCAGUCACUCAGGACCUUCCCAUUGCGCUAAAGCAAUAAACCGGGAAACGUACAGCACCCAAACAAGAUGUCCAAUGAGGAAAAUGCACGAGCUUCAAGCAGAGAAAGAGCCACUGUUUAGGUGUUUGGGUUUGGGCGCCAAACCAAUUAAGCCCAAUUUCCAAAUUAACCCAACUUCCCAAGGACCUUUCCGAGAAGGAAGGUUUCCAAUAAGGAAGGCCUGAUCUGAGGCAGGCCUGUGGUCCAUCUAGAAUUUUCCCACGAGCCCCGCGGAAGUAUAAUCCUAUUUAUGCUCCUGAGAUGCCGUGGAGAAGCCCCACGCAGGGCCUCAUGUGGGCAUGUGCUUAGAAUCUGCGCCUCUUACCUGGAAAGGGGAAAUCUUUCUUCCCCCCUCCCCGGUUCCCACCUGCGGCUGACGCCACUUUUU
RNAcentral lists this long non-coding RNA (4863 nucleotides) under Sus scrofa (pig). Its description in RNAcentral is "lncRNA (ENSSSCG00055001650.1)". The record is from RNAcentral. Lineage: Eukaryota; Metazoa; Chordata; Mammalia; Artiodactyla; Suidae.